This 274-nucleotide long non-coding RNA is filed under the name Helianthus annuus (common sunflower). RNAcentral describes it as "sRNA HanXRQr2_Chr05g0196351". Lineage: Eukaryota; Viridiplantae; Streptophyta; Magnoliopsida; Asterales; Asteraceae. The record is from RNAcentral.
GAACCGUAUGUACCCGUGGCAAUCACAGAAAAUGAAGAACAAAGUGGGCAAUCACUUUUAGAGUUUCCACUCGAAAGCGAUGUAUGAGAAAUGGAGUGAAACUGGCAACGUGGAUCAUGUGGUAUACCAAAUAAUGACAAAACAUAUUACAAUUUGUGUGUACCGGGCGAUUUGAUGUAUGGACGCUUUGCCAGUUCAUCUUAGGGUUGGGUGGGUACAGGUGUGCUGGUUCAACGAAUGUACUCAGCUACAUCUGCUUCAUUUGCUCUCUUAC